This 241-nucleotide unclassified non-coding RNA is filed under the name Cortinarius hinnuleus. RNAcentral's name for it is "partial internal transcribed spacer region". The stretch from base 1 to 46 matches the Rfam family "Eukaryotic small subunit ribosomal RNA", at positions 1786 to 1831 of the family's 1831-position model. The record is from RNAcentral. Lineage: Eukaryota; Fungi; Basidiomycota; Agaricomycetes; Agaricales; Cortinariaceae.
AAGUCGUAACAAGGUUUCCGUAGGUGAACCUGCGGAAGGAUCAUUAUUGAAAUAAACCUGAUGGGUUGUUGCUGGUUCUCUAGGGAGCAUGUGCACGCCUUGUCAUCUUUAUAUCUCCACCUGUGCACUUUUUGUAGACCUUUCCAGGUCUAUGUUGCUUCAUUAUACCCCAAUUGUAUGUCAUUAGAAUGUUGUGCCUAUAUAAUUUAUACAACUUUCAGCAACGGAUCUCUUGGCUCUC